This 72-nucleotide transfer RNA is filed under the name Bos taurus (domestic cattle). It matches the Rfam family "tRNA". Rfam says of the family: Transfer RNA (tRNA) molecules are approximately 80 nucleotides in length. Their secondary structure includes four short double-helical elements and three loops (D, anti-codon, and T loops). The record is from Rfam by way of RNAcentral. RNAcentral also lists the same sequence under 5 other names. Lineage: Eukaryota; Metazoa; Chordata; Mammalia; Artiodactyla; Bovidae.
UUUUGGGUGGCUCAGAUGGUAAAGAAUCUGCCUGCAAUGCAGGAGACCCAGGUUAGAUUCCUGGGUUAGAAA